GCGCGACCGUGUCUGGAUGCCGCAGGGAAGCCGUGAAGCGUAGCCACCUGGGAAGUACGGCCGCAAGGCUGAAACUUAAAGGAAUUGGCGGGGGAGCACAACAACGGGUGGAGCCUGCGGUUUAAUUGGACUCAACGCCGGACAACUCACCGGGGGCGACAGCAAUAUGUAGGCCAAGCUGAAGACUUUGCCUGAAUCGCUGAGAGGAGGUGCAUGGCA
This 219-nucleotide ribosomal RNA is filed under the name uncultured Methanosarcina sp. RNAcentral describes it as "partial 16S ribosomal RNA". It matches the Rfam family "Archaeal small subunit ribosomal RNA", at positions 783 to 999 of the family's 1478-position model. Lineage: Archaea; Methanobacteriati; Methanobacteriota; Methanomicrobia; Methanosarcinales; Methanosarcinaceae. The record is from RNAcentral.